UAAUUGCCCUUGGCCAUUGUGAUUUCACCAGC
Molecule: non-coding RNA, 32 nt
Filed under: Mus musculus (house mouse)
Lineage: Eukaryota; Metazoa; Chordata; Mammalia; Rodentia; Muridae
Source: RNAcentral